RNAcentral lists this long non-coding RNA (409 nucleotides) under Coffea arabica (coffee). Its description in RNAcentral is "long non-coding RNA (CARA_LNC006461)". Lineage: Eukaryota; Viridiplantae; Streptophyta; Magnoliopsida; Gentianales; Rubiaceae. The record is from RNAcentral.
GAUGGCUUCUCAUCUUUUUGUUCUUCAAUCAAAGGUUCUUUGUCCAUUUUCUCCACACCUUCAAUUUUAACAUCUUGCCCUCCAAGCGACCGCUCAUCCUCCCCUUCCAAGUAUUCACCAACAUCUUCUUCAUACCCCUUCUCUUUAAAACUUUCAUCUUUGUAAAGUUUUUCUUCCCUGAGCUCUUCAUGCACCUCUACGUGUUGCUCUUUCUUUCCAUCCUCCCCAAAUUCAGUUCUCAUUUCAACUUCUUUUGGAUCAGCUAUUUGCUUUUCCAACUCUUCUUCCGGAAGAAAUUCUCCACCAAACUCUGACUCUUCUUUUUCUGCUUUAUCCAAAAGCCCAGUUUCAAUCUCCAACUCCGGAGAUGAUGCUGGCAUUGGCAAGAAUCUUAUUCAUGAGCUUCUCA